GGCGCAGAAGGAGAAAGCACCUGGGUAAAGGUUACAGCACAAAUGUGGUGCAGCUGGGUUCGUACCCGCACCCAUGUGACUUUUUCAGCCCAAGCUUUCAACUGUGGCAGAUGCUGAGUGACCAGGAGGCAGCAAAAAAAAAACAAAACAAAACAACCAAACAUGUUUCUGUGUGUCUACAAGAGACACUCUUAAAUACAAGGAAGCAGAAAGAUUGAAGACAGAAAGAAGUACUGAUACAUUCCCAGGAAUACAUAGACUGUAUUUUCUGGCUUUAACGUAGUAAAACUAGAUGUAAGCAACUAAAGAAUAGCUGAACACCUCACAUCUGCAAAUGGAAUAGAAUAUUACUAAAAUACAUUGAGCUAAAAAAAUCAGAAGAGAAAUUGAAAUACUUAGAGCUGAAAGACAUUGAAAACACUGCAGUAUUUCAUUACUGAAGAUGCAUCCUAAUUUUAUAUACCACUAAGAAAGGAAAAGACUGCUACUUGAAACAUGUCAUGACACUGACUAUAAGACGUGUCUUAAUUUCAGAGAUGAUAGAUAAGAAAAAUAUGCUUUUUAUUGGGUUGGCCAAUAAGGUACUUUGGUUUUUAGCUGCUUUCGGUUGGUCUAAUUGGGAGCAGUAUUUAUUGGAAUUAAUCGUGUGGUUUUUCUGGAAGGAGCUCAUAAUAGAGGACUCCCUUCUAAUCCCACCAUAUAUAUAACAUCACCUUCUUUGGAUGAAGACCUGCCUUUGGCGAGGUCCAUCUGACUGGGGAGCAUCAUCCAGCAAGAAAUCUCCAACAGGAAACUUCACAAACCACUUCUGACACAAUUGACCAGCACUUUCUCCACACACUGUACACAUACAUUUUUUUUGCAUUUCAGUUGCAUUUUUACCUUC
This is a long non-coding RNA of Bubalus bubalis (water buffalo), 886 nucleotides long. RefSeq lists it as uncharacterized. NCBI's taxonomy places the organism in Eukaryota, Metazoa, Chordata, Mammalia, Artiodactyla, Bovidae. The transcript has 3 exons. The record is from RefSeq and is a predicted model, not a curated record.